Molecule: small RNA, 526 nt
Filed under: Pongo abelii (Sumatran orangutan)
Lineage: Eukaryota; Metazoa; Chordata; Mammalia; Primates; Hominidae
Description: processed transcript
Source: RNAcentral
UUUAACAAAGCGGGAGCAAAGUGACGUCAAGAAAGUUCCUAAAGGUGUUCCCCUACAGUUUGACAUAAACAGUGUCGGAAAACAGGGAUGACGUUGAAUGAGCGGUUUGGGAUCCUGAAGGAACAAAGAGCCACUCUCACAUACAACAAAGGGGGAAGCCGCUUUGUCACCGUGGGAUAGGUCCCAUGUCACAGGAACUUUUGAGUGAUGACUCUGAAAAGUUAAAUAGCUUGAAGAGUUCAUCACAGAAAUUCAAGAAACUUUACUUCAAAAUAUUCGCAAGGCUAAAUAACUCUUAUUUUUGAAGGUUUUUUUUUUUAAAAAAAAAAAGUAUAAAAUAAUGCCCUGAAAGAAUAAUAGGGAUUAUACCUAUCUGUUCUUAAAGAUUUCGUGGUUGGCUCAGACAGAACAAUCAUCUGUUUGACUUCUUUGGUUCCUCAUGCAGCAGAAGGAAGACAGAAAGAUAGAAAUUGAUUAUUUUUAUGAUAGUGGUAUUCAGGAUCUCAUCACCUUUGCCCAUAUUUUA